GAGGGGAAGAGGUGCGCAGCACGGCGAGAGCCGGCGCGCAGGCAGCGGAAGAAUAGGUCCUUGACCUAGACGGCUGAUACCAUGAGAGCCAAUAAGUCUCUGGAUAUUAGAUUGAUAAUCAAGGGUACAGGGUACAUAUAUAGGCAAGGAUCCCCUAAGGGUUUAUAGAAACACCCAGAUUACGGUGAUCCUUGCCUUAUCAAUCUAACUUAACCAUUAAGGCAUUAGGCCCAUAACAGGCCAAAGGGCGCCUAUUCUAACAGCGCCGUAGCCCCCCAGUGAGAGAGACCGUGCGCGCCUCUCCCCCUCCACCUCUUCUCCUUUUCCAUCCCCCUCUCGACAUUAGGGUGCGCUCCGUUGCACACGUCCCGGCAGGCGGACGGCGGCGCGGCGACGCCUCGGCAUGGCGACCCAAGACGCGCGGCUGCCCCUAGCCCGACCUCCCAACGGCGUGGCAACCUCAACACGGGCGGCGCCGUGGCGGCGCUGUCUCUACUUGGCUUCCAUCCUAUUUGUCUCACAGCCUGCUGGAGCUGCUCCGGUGAACCCACUACUGGAUCUGGUACCUCCGUGGACGGAUCAGUUGAUAUGCCCACCACAUCCAGAGGUGGUGCCGGUGAGGCUGUCGCCACCUCAUCCAGGUCAGUUGUCACACCAUCAUCCUCCUCGUUCUUCUCUACAUCAUCUUCCUGUUGAACAAAUUACUGUGCUUUGGUGAUGUGGUUUUCUUGUUUGAUGUAACGACGGAAGAUUAGCCGGCAACGAUGGCCUCAUGGUCUGCAGUGGAAGGGCAUGCCAUAAUUGUCGCAUGUAGAACUACAACCAGCAGAGGUCAUUUCAGGAGCUCAACGCCAAGGAUCUACACGACACGGAGUGGAAGUUAAGACAUAUCUACCGAGCUGCGCGACGGAGUUUGUAUAUAUUGACUGAGUUAGCUUGGCUUAGGGACUCAUUAUUAGCCAUACGGUUCUCUACAUUAUGUUACUUAGGAUUCUCUCAGCAAACAUGUGUUCUAUUUUCUUAGCAUAUUAUUCAGGCUUAAGUACUGAAUGAUACUCGAUUUAUUAGGAGGGCUUCAGUUCUGGUCAGUUGAGACUCUGCAUUUUUAGUUAAUAAUAAUUGACCAGAUAUUGCCUUUAGUUUCCAAGUAAUGGAGGCUAUUGCAUUUCCAUUUAGUCUAUAAUUUAAGCAAAUUUCUGAAAAAUAUAUAUCCAACCUAAUCUAAGUGGUGAGGAAAAUCAACUAAUGCUUCAGGAAAAGAUCAUGCAACUUGCUGACAACGAAACUGAUGUUAGUAAUUGUAUGAAAGAUAGAAGAGGAUUAAUAAUAUUGGAUUUUGAAUAUCUAUCUUUAGCAAUUUGUGAUCCUGGGUUUCUAAUAGACUUCCACUUCUACAGGCUAGCCAUGAAGGCAUCUCUAAUAGAGCGCAUUUGUUAAUAGGAAGCUUGUUUCUGAAGAUGCAAUUUUGUUCCUUUGGUCUCUGAUUGUUCCUCAACCUCACAACAUUUUGAAUCUUCUGAAAGGCUACUGAAAUAUAUUUACUCCAGUGUCCAUGGCAUAUUCUGGAAGUUGUUUAGUUUUCAUCCCUACAUUUAUAGCUCAUUUCCAGUUUUCCAAGAGUGUGGAAUGGUAUCUGCUAUCUAUAUGAAAUUGUCAUAUUCGGCGUCUUUGUUUGUCUUGCAUGUGCCUAACAUAGCUCUCUUUCAGAGUUUAUUAAUAUUCAAGUUUUUCAGGUCUUACAUUUUGUUGUCUCAUUAUCUUUUCUUUUUCUGUUCCUGAUAUUGCCAAGGGGUAUAUUAAAUACUUACCAGUUGCUUAGAGGUUCGCAAUUUUUUUAUGGUGUUUUAUAUUGCUUUUUGUUUUUGCAGCACUAUUGGCACGACAUGUGAAUUCCUUGUUUUGAAGCCUCCCUACCUUCAGUUCAGUUUUUUUUUCUUACCUACAUGCUUCCUAAACCAAAUAUGUAGUGAUUUUGCUCUGUCAUAGUAUAUAAUACAUGUAUCAAGAGGAAUAUUUUUGGCAGCACUGAAGAUUAGAGUGCAGAUUAUCUGCUACCAGAACUAACUGAACAUGAAGGUACUCAGAGCUACUACGCUUACUGAUAGUGCCUAACAUGAUUCAUACUUUGUAUUCUUACCAUUUGAUGAUAAAUAGGAAAUUUGACCUAGGACAGUCAGGCAUACAUUAGAUGAAAACAUGUUCAAAAUAUACUCUUCAGGUAUAUUGUUUACAACACCAAUUCACUAUUAUUAUGAGCUAUGAUGUUGCUACUUUCUAUAAGCUCUACUGUCUCUGUAUUCAUGCAGGCAGCUGAGAGAUUUAGACCUUGAGAAUGAUCUGGUAGCUAAAAGGUUUACUUUGACUUAUAAUACCUCCAUGAUUUUCUAACAUGAGGAAACUAUUUAUCUAAGUCACAGUUAAGAAAAUUGCUCACAUGCUCGAUGGAAGAAGAAAACGUUAUGCCAACUCUCUAAUGUGUGCUGGCUGCUAUCAACCCAUCCUUGUGUUUAGCUGCAAACUGAAGCUACAUUUAUGUUAGUUUCCUUGGAAUAGAAUGGGUGAUGAAGAGGGAACCUUCUACAAUCCAAAAGCUGCAGCAAAUAUUGUAACAUUUUAGACAUCUAUUAUAGGUCAUUGUAUAUUUUCUGCCCAUUUGUAGUGGCGUCAUCAUGUUCUUUAUCAUUCCAAACAGGAAGUAUAUACUCAGGAUGCUAUGGAGCUACAUGGUCCAGAAUUUGAUGCGAUGAAUGCCUCCAUUGACAAAGUUAGUGUGUACAGGGCUGGGUAUGCCCAACAAAUGUAUCCUGUACUAACCAUUCAAAUUCUUGUAUCGACAUGCUACCUUCUGAAGAACUAUAGCCUAUCUAUGUUGGCUUAUUGACAAGUGCCUUGUGUAACGUGUGUUUAAGUCAAACUAUUAUAUAUCAAUGUAAUGUGCUGGCACCAAAAUA
Sorghum bicolor (sorghum) is the source of this 2951-nucleotide RNA transcript. RefSeq lists it as uncharacterized. Lineage: Eukaryota; Viridiplantae; Streptophyta; Magnoliopsida; Poales; Poaceae. The transcript is spliced from 2 exons. The record is from RefSeq and is a predicted model, not a curated record.